UCCUAUAGACUGCUUAUCAUUGCAGUUAAGAUAGUCUGGGGUGUGCUUGCUGGGAGUUCUUGGAGCUGAAGUUUUCCAAUUGAGGGCCCUUAUCUUUGGAAUGGGCUCCCUUUGGCGAUCUGCCAACAUGGGGCUUUGGUGAUCUUCAGUGCAUGAUAUAGGUCAUUUCUGCUUGAGCUAGUAUGUGGUUAAUUGUCUGACUUGCUGGAUUUUGUUUUCCCUUGGUGCUUUGUUUUGUAUUUUGACCUGCAGUGAUCACAGCCAUAUUUAUGUUACUCGUUAUAAGGUUUGUUUUUAUAACCAAAUACUUAAAUAAGUGCUUGAGAUCAAUAAAUAAAUAAUAAACCACAUAAAUGGCUAGUUGGUUAACAACAAGGUUCUUAUUUCAAUUGCUUACAGCUAUUGUCAGAAUUUAUUGGAAGGACGAGCACUUUUUCAUUAGAGAGCUGCUAAAUGACUCAUGAAAGACUGAAAUGUUUUGAGAUAAAUGUUAUAGAAAAGUCUAUUUCUCUUCUCUUUUUAAUUACUCAGGGCAUUGCAUCAAAACAGGAUAUUUGCUUUCUGAGCAGAUAAACUCUCAUUCCUCACCUUGAGUUGUAAUCAUAAUAAUCUCCACAGCAAUUAAUCUGAUGUCAGAAACAGAGGAUUGUGACUUCAGGCCAUGAAUGUUUAGAAUGAAGGAGAAAUAACUAGCAGGAAGAGAUGAAACCGUAUGAAAGAGAGAUCUUUUCCAUGCAAAUGCAGGGUCUGGGAAGAAGACCUAGUGACAUCCAAUGAGACUUAGGGCUUGUCUACACCACAGACCGGAUCGACAGGCAGCUAUCGAUCCAGCAGGAGUCGAUUUAUAGUGUCUAGUAUAGACGCGAUAAAUCGACCAGAGAUUGCUCUAGCAUCGAAUCCAGUACUCCGCCUCAACGAGAAGCUCAUCUCCUGUCGACACAACACAGUGACCUAAGUAUCAAUAUCAGGACUGAUUUUUCUAUGAGAAGACAAAAUUCCACUAUUUUCAGUCAUCACAAAAGACAAGACUGAAACUUGAAUAACUGAAAGGAGAGAAGAUGUCUAAUCCAACUCUUCUGAACCCUUAAAGAGAGAUUUUCUUUUUCUUAACUCAAGCUCCUGACAAACAGCUGGGGGAAAAUGCUUUCUUUGUGAAAUAGUCAACAUCAUGCACCUCCUGUUGUUCUUUCCUGUUAUAGUUUUAUGGGCUUCAGAAGGUUCUCCAGCACCUACAGGAAGGGAAGACUUGUAAUUACUGCUGUUUCUUUUUUAAAGGCAAAUGACUCCUCCUCCCCAACUUCUU
Long non-coding RNA from Mauremys reevesii (Reeves's turtle), 1303 nucleotides. RefSeq lists it as uncharacterized. The transcript has 3 exons. Lineage: Eukaryota; Metazoa; Chordata; Testudines; Geoemydidae. The record is from RefSeq and is a predicted model, not a curated record.